AUGAACACAAACGAGACAUUUUCACCUCCCAAAUCUCUUAUAAAUCUUAGAAUCAAUGGAUGGAUAAGGGGGCUACCAAGCUGGAUCAAAGAGCUACAUAAACUUUCGAAGAUAACUCUCUGUGGUACAUACUUGACGGACACUGAUAUACAGCUGCUAGGUGAACUUGGCAAUUUGCGCCUUCUCAUGCUCCGGCCCAAGUCAUAUAAGGACAAGAAGCUUACUUUGAGGAGUAACAAAUUCAAAAGACUUCAGCUUCUUGUCAUAGAGGACUCAGACAUCUCCAACAUUCAUUUUGAACAUAAUGGAGCUUCUAAUCUUGAGAAGAUAGUUUGGACUUCCAAUAGCAUGGAAAACCUACAUGGAAUUGAACAACUUCUGAGCCUGAAAGAGAUUGAGCUGAACAGUAACUGUGACCUGAGUAGCAUCAUACAUGCCACAAAAGAAAAUCCAAAUCACCCUAUCCUUACGCAGAAUCCAAUACCCAAGGCCACUGAGGCUACUGAUGCAAGCAACAUUCCUCGUCGUCAGUAG
This 534-nucleotide ribosomal RNA is filed under the name Triticum aestivum (bread wheat). RNAcentral describes it as "partial small subunit ribosomal RNA". The record is from RNAcentral. Lineage: Eukaryota; Viridiplantae; Streptophyta; Magnoliopsida; Poales; Poaceae.